RNAcentral lists this long non-coding RNA (331 nucleotides) under Homo sapiens (human). Its description in RNAcentral is "HSALNT0340761". The record is from RNAcentral. Lineage: Eukaryota; Metazoa; Chordata; Mammalia; Primates; Hominidae.
ACUGCACUCCAGCCUGGGCGACAGAGUGAGACUCCAUCUCAAAAAAAAAAAAAAAAAGAAAUACCAGGUGAAGCAUAUGCCCUGCAAGCUUAGGGGUGCUACAGUUGACCACUGCAGCAGUAAAGAUGACUGAAGAAUGGCAUGGGAUGGAUCCUUUCGAAUGCACUUGAGCAGCAGUCUCCAAACACAGGGCCACAGAGCCAGAGAAUGUAUUUGUCACUUCCAGCUGAAUCUACCAUGAAAGACUUCUGAAUCCAGGAAAAGAGACUGACUGGGUAACAUGUUAUUCAGGAGAUGGGGUCUCACCCUGUCACCCAGGCUUGAGUACAGU